UGGGGAAUAUUGGACAAUGGGGGCAACCCUGAUCCAGCAAUGCCGCGUGUGUGAAGAAGGUCUUCGGAUUGUAAAGCACUUUCGACGGGGACGAUGAUGACGGUACCCGUAGAAGAAGCCCCGGCUAACUUCGUGCCAGCAGCCGCGGUAAUACGAAGGGGGCUAGCGUUGCUCGGAAUGACUGGGCGUAAAGGGCGUGUAGGCGGUUUACACAGUCAGAUGUGAAAUCCCCGGGCUUAACCUGGGAGCUGCAUUUGAUACGUGUAGACUAGAGUGUGAGAGAGGGUUGUGGAAUUCCCAGUGUAGAGGUGAAAUUCGUAGAUAUUGGGAAGAACACCGGUGGCGAAGGCGGCAACCUGGCUCAUGACUGACGCUGAGGCGCGAAAGCGUGGGGAGCAAACAGGUUAGAUA
This 411-nucleotide ribosomal RNA is filed under the name uncultured bacterium. RNAcentral describes it as "partial 16S ribosomal RNA". It matches the Rfam family "Bacterial small subunit ribosomal RNA", at positions 355 to 784 of the family's 1533-position model. The record is from RNAcentral.